This 508-nucleotide ribosomal RNA is filed under the name uncultured bacterium. RNAcentral's name for it is "bacterial SSU rRNA". It matches the Rfam family "Bacterial small subunit ribosomal RNA", at positions 13 to 518 of the family's 1533-position model. The record is from RNAcentral.
CGGAUUCUGGCUCAGGAUGAACGCUGGCGGCGUGCUUAAUACAUGCAAGUCGAACGAAGCGCUUACAGCCGAUCCCUUCGGGGUGAAGCAGUUUGUGACUUAGUGGCGGACGGGUGAGUAACGCGUGGGUAACCUGCCUCAUGCAGGGGGAUAACAGUUAGAAAUGACUGCUAAUACCGCAUAAGCGCACGGCACCGCAUGGUGGAGUGUGAAAAGAUUUAUCGGCAUGAGAUGGACCCGCGUCUGAUUAGGUAGUUGGUGGGGUAACGGCCUACCAAGCCGACGAUCAGUAGCCGACUUGAGAGAGUGAUCGGCCACAUUGGGACUGAGACACGGCCCAGACUCCUACGGGAGGCAGCAGUAGGGAAUAUUGCACAAUGGGGGAAACCCUGAUGCAAGCGACGCCGCGUGAGUGAAGAAGUAUUUCGGUACGUAAAGCUCUAUCAGCAGGGAAGAUAAUGACGGUACCUGACUAAGAAGCCCCGGCUAACUACGUGCCAGCAGCCGC